AUUGAACGCUGGCGGCAGGCCUAACACAUGCAAGUCGAGCGGAUGAAGGUAGCUUGCUCCUGGAUUCAGCGGCGGACGGGUGAGUAAUGCCUAGGAAUCUGCCUGGUAGUGGGGAUAACGUCCGGAAACGGGCGCUAAUACCGCAUACGUCCUGAGGGAGAAAGUGGGGGAUCUUCGGACCUCACGCUAUCAGAUGAGCCUAGGUCGGAUUAGCUAGUUGGUGGGGUAAAGGCCUACCAAGGCGACGAUCCGUAACUGGUCUGAGAGGAUGAUCAGUCACACUGGAACUGAGACACGGUCCAGACUCCUACGGGAGGCAGCAGUGGGGAAUAUUGGACAAUGGGCGAAAGCCUGAUCCAGCCAUGCCGCGUGUGUGAAGAAGGUCUUCGGAUUGUAAAGCACUUUAAGUUGGGAGGAAGGGCAGUAAGUUAAUACCUUGCUGUUUUGACGUUACCAACAGAAUAAGCACCGGCUAACUUCGUG
This 483-nucleotide ribosomal RNA is filed under the name uncultured bacterium. RNAcentral describes it as "partial 16S ribosomal RNA". It matches the Rfam family "Bacterial small subunit ribosomal RNA", at positions 30 to 507 of the family's 1533-position model. The record is from RNAcentral.